This 503-nucleotide ribosomal RNA is filed under the name Calyptospora gonzaguensis. Its description in RNAcentral is "SSU rRNA". It matches the Rfam family "Eukaryotic small subunit ribosomal RNA", at positions 344 to 802 of the family's 1831-position model. Lineage: Eukaryota; Apicomplexa; Conoidasida; Eucoccidiorida; Calyptosporidae. The record is from RNAcentral.
CCGUGGCAGUGACGGGUAACGGAGGAUUAGGGUUCGAUUCCGGAGAGGGAGCCUGAGAAACGGCUACCACAUCUAAGGAAGGCAGCAGGCGCGCAAAUUACCCAAUGAAAACAGUUUCGAGGUAGUGACGAGAAAUAACAAUACAGAGCAUUAAAUGUUUUGUAAUUGGAAUGGUGGGAAUCUAAACCCCUUUCAGAGUAACAAUUGGAGGGAAAGUCUGGUGCCAGCAGCCGCGGUAAUUCCAGCUCCAAUAGCGUAUAUUUGAGUUGUUGCAGUUAAAAAGCUCGUAGUUGGAUUUCUGUGUCGGUUCUCGCGGAUGCCAUGUAGAGUAACUUUUACGGGUGUUGACAUGCGUUGAGUCGGUGCAUUUUCUCAGUUGGUAUAUUGUUUUGUGUGACUGUGGAUUUAACUAUUUGCAGUUAUUCCUGGAAGUAUAUUUAUCACUGAGACUUUUAAUUUGAGAAAAAUAGAGUGUUUCUGGCUGGCUUUUUUGCCUUGAAUAC